AGGGCUAUAGCUCAACGGUAGAGCACCUCGUUUACACCGAGAAUGUUUACGGUUCGAAUCCGUAUAGCCCUA
Molecule: transfer RNA, 72 nt
Filed under: Dipteris conjugata
Lineage: Eukaryota; Viridiplantae; Streptophyta; Polypodiopsida; Gleicheniales; Dipteridaceae
Description: tRNA-Val
Rfam family: tRNA
About the family: Transfer RNA (tRNA) molecules are approximately 80 nucleotides in length. Their secondary structure includes four short double-helical elements and three loops (D, anti-codon, and T loops). Further hydrogen bonds mediate the characteristic L-shaped molecular structure. tRNAs have two regions of fundamental functional importance: the anti-codon, which is responsible for specific mRNA codon recognition, and the 3' end, to which the tRNAs corresponding amino acid is attached (by aminoacyl-tRNA synthetases). tRNAs cope with the degeneracy of the genetic code in two manners: having more than one tRNA (with a specific anti-codon) for a particular amino acid; and 'wobble' base-pairing, i.e. permitting non-standard base-pairing at the 3rd anti-codon position.
Source: RNAcentral